RNAcentral lists this ribosomal RNA (468 nucleotides) under uncultured bacterium. RNAcentral's name for it is "partial 16S ribosomal RNA". It matches the Rfam family "Bacterial small subunit ribosomal RNA", at positions 28 to 507 of the family's 1533-position model. The record is from RNAcentral.
GACGAACGCUGGCGGCGUGCUUAACACAUGCAAGUCGAACGGAAAGGCCCUGCUUUUGUGGGGUGCUCGAGUGGCGAACGGGUGAGUAACACGUGAGUAACCUGCCCUUGACUUUGGGAUAACUUCAGGAAACUGGGGCUAAUACCGGAUAGGAGCUCCUGCUGCAUGGUGGGGGUUGGAAAGUUUCGGCGGUUGGGGAUGGACUCGCGGCUUAUCAGCUUGUUGGUUGGGUAGUGGCUUACCAAGGCUUUGACGGGUAGCCGGCCUGAGAGGGUGACCGGCCACAUUGGGACUGAGAUACGGCCCAGACUCGUACGGGAGGCAGCAGUGGGGAAUAUUGCACAAUGGGCGGAAGCCUGAUGCAGCAACGCCGCGUGCGGGAUGACGGCAUUCGGGUUGUAAACCGCUUUCGCCUGUGACGAAGCGUGAGUGACGGUAAUGGGUAAAGAAGCACCGGCUAACUACGUG